This 510-nucleotide ribosomal RNA is filed under the name uncultured bacterium. RNAcentral describes it as "partial 16S ribosomal RNA". The record is from RNAcentral.
GGAGUUAGCCGGUGCUUCUUCUGCGAGUAACGUCACAGAUGUAAGGUAUUAACUUACACCCUUUCCUCCUCGCUGAAAGUGCUUUACAACCCGAAGGCCUUCUUCACACACGCGGCAUGGCUGCAUCAGGGUUUCCCCCAUUGUGCAAUAUUCCCCACUGCUGCCUCCCGUAGGAGUCUGGGCCGUGUCUCAGUCCCAGUGUGGCUGAUCAUCCUCUCAGACCAGCUAGGGAUCGUCGCCUAGGUGAGCCUUUACCUCACCUACUAGCUAAUCCCACCUGGGCUUAUCCAUCAGCGCAAGGCCCGAAGGUCCCCUGCUUUCCCCCGUAGGGCGUAUGCGGUAUUAGCAGUCGUUUCCAACUGUUAUCCCCCACAAAUGGGCAAAUUCCCAGGCAUUACUCACCCGUCCGCCGCUCGUCAUCUUCAAAAGCAAGCUUUUGAAAUGUUACCGCUCGACUUGCAUGUGUUAGGCCUGCCGCCACGCGUCAUCUGAGCAUGAUACAACUACUGA